RNAcentral lists this ribosomal RNA (881 nucleotides) under marine metagenome. Its description in RNAcentral is "bacterial SSU rRNA". It matches the Rfam family "Bacterial small subunit ribosomal RNA", at positions 58 to 987 of the family's 1533-position model. The record is from RNAcentral.
CAAGUCGAACGAAGUAGCAAUACUUAGUGGCAGACGGGUGAGUAACAUGUAGGUAUCUACCCUAUGGCCUGGAAUAACACGAGGAAACUUGUGCUAAUACCGGAUAAGUCUUUACGGAGAAAGCUUUAUGCACCAUUGGAUGAGCCUGCACUUGAUUAGUUUGUUGGUAGGGUAAUGGCCUACCAAGACUGUGAUCAAUAGCUGAUUUGAGAGGAUGAUCAGCCACAUUGGGACUGAGACACGGCCCAAACUCCUACGGGAGGCAGCAGUGGGGAAUCUUGCACAAUGGAGGAAACUCUGAUGCAGCGAUGCCGCGUGAGUGAAGAAGGCCUUUGGGUUGUAAAGCUCUUUCGUCGGGGAAGAAAAUGACUGUACCCGAAUAAGAAGGUCCGGCUAACUUCGUGCCAGCAGCCGCGGUAAUACGAAGGGACCUAGCGUAGUUCGGAAUUACUGGGCUUAAAGAGUUCGUAGGUUGUUGAAAUAGUUGGUGGUGAAAUCCCAGAGCUUAACUCUGGAACUGCCAUCAAAACUUUUCAGCUAGAGUUUGAUAGAGGAAAGCAGAAUUUCUAGUGUAGAGGUGAAAUUCGUAGAUAUUAGAAAGAAUACCAAUUGCGAAGGCAGCUUUCUGGAUCAUUACUGACACUGAGGAACGAAAGCAUGGGUAGCGAAGAGGAUUAGAUACCCUCGUAGUCCAUGCCGUAAACGAUGUGUGUUAGACGUUGGAAAUUUAUUUUCAGUGUCGCAGCGAAAGCGAUAAACACACCGCCUGGGGAGUACGACCGCAAGGUUAAAACUCAAAUGAAUUGACGGGGACCCGCACAAGUAGUGGAGCAUGUGGUUUAAUUCGAAGAUACGCGCAGAACCUUACCAACACUUGACAU